UCCGGUGGUCAUACCGAGAGGGAAACACCCGUUCCCAUUCCGAACACGGAAGUUAAGCCUCUCUGGGCCGAUGGUACUUGGUGGGUAACUGCCUGGGAGAGUAGGUCGCCGCCGGGA
Molecule: ribosomal RNA, 117 nt
Filed under: Acidobacteria bacterium 21-70-11
Lineage: Bacteria; Pseudomonadati; Acidobacteriota
Also listed under: 3 other names
Source: RNAcentral